This 222-nucleotide long non-coding RNA is filed under the name Lathyrus oleraceus (garden pea). RNAcentral's name for it is "Pisum sativum (pea) long non-coding RNA (PSAT_LNC026476)". Lineage: Eukaryota; Viridiplantae; Streptophyta; Magnoliopsida; Fabales; Fabaceae. The record is from RNAcentral.
GACUUCCAAUCUUCAUCUCACUUCUGUUUUUGAUUGUUUGACUUUGACUUUCAAUGUUAUUGGUCAACAUAUGAUGAUUGGUACAUUUUAUUUCAUUUAAUGCAUUUGUACUUUUGCCGUUUUAUUUCCAUCAUCCAUCUCCUUCUUCUUCCUCUUCUUAUUUUCUUUUUGAUCAAUGAGUUGAAGGUUGAUAAGUUAGCAUUGAUUAGGGAGACUUAAUCU